GUCCUACGGGAGGCUGCAGUGAGGAAUAUUGGUCAAUGGGCGAGAGCCUGAACCAGCCAAGUCGCGUGAGGGAGUACUGCCCUAUGGGUUGUAAACCUCGUUUGUCGGGGAGCAAAAGCCGGACGUGUCCGGCUGUGAGAGUACCCGAAGAAAAAGCAUCGGCUAACUCCGUGCCAGCAGCCGCGGUAAUACGGAGGAUGCGAGCGUUAUCCGGAUUUAUUGGGUUUAAAGGGUGCGCAGGCGGAGUUUUAAGUCAGCGGUCAAAUCGUGGGGCUCAACCCCGUCCAGCCGUUGAAACUGGGGAUCUAGAGUGUGCGAGAGGUAUGCGGAAUGCGUGGUGUAGCGGUGAAAUGCAUAGAUAUCACGCAGAACCCCGAUUGCGAAGGCAGCAUACCGGUGCACAACUGACGCUCAGGCACGAAAGCGUGGGUAUCGAACAGGAUUAGAUACCCCUGUAGUCCA
This 462-nucleotide ribosomal RNA is filed under the name uncultured bacterium. Its description in RNAcentral is "bacterial SSU rRNA". It matches the Rfam family "Bacterial small subunit ribosomal RNA", at positions 335 to 797 of the family's 1533-position model. The record is from RNAcentral.